GACGAACCGUGCGAACGUUGUUCGGAAUCACUGGGCUUAAAGGGCGCGUAGGCGGCUCAUCAAGUCCGGGGUGAAAGCCCCCAGCUUAACUGGGGAAGUGCCUCGGAUACUGGUGAACUGGAGGGAGGUAGGGGCGGAUGGAACUUCCGGUGGAGCGGUGAAAUGCGUUGAUAUCGGAAGGAACGCCGGUGGCGAAAGCGAUCCGCUGGACCUCUACUGACGCUGAGGCGCGAAAGCCAGGGGAGCAAACGGG
RNAcentral lists this ribosomal RNA (253 nucleotides) under uncultured bacterium. RNAcentral describes it as "partial 16S ribosomal RNA". It matches the Rfam family "Bacterial small subunit ribosomal RNA", at positions 524 to 776 of the family's 1533-position model. The record is from RNAcentral.